This 3981-nucleotide long non-coding RNA is filed under the name Musa acuminata (dwarf banana). RNAcentral describes it as "long non-coding RNA (MACU_LNC002743)". Lineage: Eukaryota; Viridiplantae; Streptophyta; Magnoliopsida; Zingiberales; Musaceae. The record is from RNAcentral.
UUUACUUAUGCUAUGAUUACUACAGAAAAUGUAAAUUCUAGAAUUAUGAAUAUUGUUGCAGUAUCCUUUUCUUUUUUCCUUUUUUUCUUUACUUCAGCUCUUAUUUCCUUGGUUAUACAUCAUUAGUUGAAUUUAAUUUUUCCUUAAUUUAAUUUUUUCUGAUUAACUGUCAUGCAUUGGACAUUUUACUUGGGAACAAUGUUUUAGGGGCAUUUCUUGAGUUUGAUUAUGACUCAAAUGAUGAGUUAGAAGAGUUUUACCAUAUGGCUAUCUCCAAUGUACGAAAAAACUACAUGGGACAUUCAGGUUAUCUUGGCUCCUUUGUAAUGGUUGAACAUGUUUUUAUCAACUUGAGGUAUAAUAAAUGUAGCCUCUUAAAUGAAUCUAAGCCUCUUUUUGGUGGAUGAGAAAAUAUUUGUAGUGGAAAAAAUUUAGCUAAACCAUGUUGCUAACCUUUAAAGUUGAAACCAUCCUCAUGUAUUAUGCAGCCUGGAAAGGAGUAACUGUUCUCCUAUACUUUGAUGAGGCCCUUCUGAGAAAUUAUUUAGUCAUGAACACUAUCCCUUUCUGAAGAUAACUCCAAAGAGUAACUCCACUGUAGCAAAGGCUUUUUUCUUUUUUAAUGUUUUGGGAUUGACCUGCAAAAUUCCAUUUUGUGUGAAGAAUGGGAGGCUACAAAAUGUCACCAUUGAGCUGUUGCCUACUUGCAACUCAUAAUAGAUUUAUUUGUUAGGUAUAUUUAAGAUUAAAAAUGGUUUGUUAAUAAAAUAAUUUAGACAAACUAAUAUAUUUAUUGGUAAAAUUUAUUAGUUAAUGAGAGUUUGUAAGUACAAAAUCUAAUAAGACAUAUAUAGUUAAUCUUAGAAGCUAAAUGCUUUAGAUUAAUUAGAAACAAAAAAUAAUAUAUAAAGUGGAAAUUAGCAACAAUAGAAAAUGAACAAAUGUCCAAUAUAAAAGACUGUUGGAUCUAAUGAGAAUACCUUUUUCUCCCUUCAAAUUUUUUCAUGUAUUCAAAUAGUUCAAGAUUUGGUUUCGUUGUCUUCGUGUACCAUGUUACAAAUAUUCUCUGAAGAAGGUUUGGCUUACCCUUCUUCAGCACAUCGCUUGUUCAUUGGUCUUCUUCUUUUUUUUUCGUCUGUGUAUAUUGUACGUACUGAUAUUUUUUCUGGUGGUUUCAGUGUCAGCUUAUGUCCAUCUGGCUCUUAAUUUUCUAACCUUGCAUAUGUCAAGAUUUAUUGGACAAGCUGGCUUGUAGAAGUGUCUAAAUGUCCAUUGGUGACAGACUAUUGGAGUAAAACAAACUUGACUAAACUUGCAAAAUAACUCAAGUAUCCAAAUGUCCAUUUGGUAACAGAGUAUUGGAAUUAGGCAUUUUGAUGGAUCAUAGUCUUGCACUUCCGUCAAAAGUAUGUGCCGACUCUUUCAAACAAAAUUGGAAAACACUUGUGGCAUGAAAUAAUUUCUUGGAGUUGGGUAAUGAAUGCUGUUGGAUUUUAGGCUAGACCACUAACUUUUCCUUUGAGUUUGUCAUCUUUUUUGUUUCAAUGCAGCCAAUUUUGCUGGUUCACAUGGAAUCCAGUGUUAAAAGAAGCUACCAAUUAAAAUCAAUGUGUAUGACUUUUCUAUUCUCACGAAGAGAUGGGACCUCUUAAGCCCCUCGUUUAUCUCCUUCAGGUAAGUUUAAUUCCUUCGAUUGCAAGUUGUUCCUGUUGCAAUAUAAACUUUUCUUUUUCUGAAUGACAUCUUUUGUUUGCCAAAGUUAAAAGCAGCUACCGGCGGCUUAGUGAGUUUGCUCCUAGUUGAAGUAAUUCUAAAGGAGUGUGCAAUAUUCUUCCAGGCAAGAUAACAAGCUGUUCACUUUUUUAAAUUUCAUGGACAAUCAUCACUGAGCAAUUAAAAUUUGUGCUACCAGUGUCUGUGGAGUGUCUUAUCAAUGCAAUAUUUUUCUUUUCUUGUUCUUUUGGAUGGAAAUACAAGACUACCUAUAUAAGCUUAAUGCAAUCUCCUGUAUAUGCUAAUGUGUUCAUGAUCAAAAUUUUCUUGUGUUGACCUUACAGAUUGUGCUACUUGGUUUAGUUGAUACAGAUUCCUGGUUUUACAGAAAUACCUUAAUGCUUCUAGAACCUACCAUUUUUGGGGUGAUUAUUAUUAGGCUAUAUGCUAUUACUUGCCUUACAAGUGGAACUCGUUUCUUACUUUUGUGCUACAUUUCAGGUUUGGACAUCUGCAGUUGUUGUAAUUGUUCUGAUCUGAGGCAGGAUGCGAUGAUGGAUGAACCAUUUAGAAGUUUAGAGCUGGUUUGUGUGGCUACUUUAAUCACAUUCCCUAGUGCUGCCACCCCUGAUUUUGCUGCAGAGCCUGCACUCAACUUGCAGCAGAUAUAGAGGAUGAGACCACAAACACGGAUUCUCCUAUGGAAUUGUUGAGUUCGUGUCUUUAGUUUGUUGCAUUAGUAAUAUCUUCUUUGUUGCUCAUUAAAUAAUUCUCUGUCGACCUUUUAUUUUUUUUUGCUUUUGAUGGAUGUGUAGAUUUCAUUUUGACAGUUUUGCAGGGUUCGUUUAUUGUUGGUUUGCAGAUUUAUUUAAUUUGUAGCAAGUGCCAUACGAAAAAAUAUUCACUUGUAUACUACCAAGUAGAAUUACAAUUCUUGUUGCCUGCAACUGAAAUUUGCAGAACUUGCUGUUUGAAUAGUUGUUGUCUACUGAAAUCACUAUACCUGAAAGCAUCUGAACAUUUAUUUGCUCUAUCAUGAAAACAAGAAACAAAAACAAAAAGACCAAGUGAGCUAAUUUUAAUUGAGACCUACUGCUGAGAUAAUUUGAUUUUGAUUUCAUCAGGUCUUAGUACUUCAGAUCCCCUCAUGUUGAUAAGAAGCUCUGUUAUAUUUUGAUGUAUUAAUUUUGUAGGUUAUAUGGAACUCACAACUUUGCCUGAUGUUAUAUUGGUCUCAUGCAGGUUUUUGGCACUUGGUUUCAUCCAUGUGAAGUAAACGGGCCCUUGUAUAUUAUCAUGCUUUGCAAUCUUGAAUUUAGUUAUGGGUUAUUUGCUCUUAAAAUGAAUCAGAGCUUGUCUGACAGUGUCUACCCAACUUUAAUCUAAACUGUAAAGGAUUAUGAUAUAAAUAAUAACUUGAACUGCUUUUUUUUUAUAUAAUAAUUGAGCUUAUAGCCUCUAGUAUAACUAAUCAUGAUUUUGAAGUGCUUAAUCAUUAUUUAUGGAGAUGCAUUCCCUGAUUCAUUAUGGUGAAAGCCAUUUAUCAGUCUUCAAAACAGGGACCUUAUGCACUUGAGGGCUUCAUGUCAAUUAGAUCAAUGGGCUAACAUACAUAAUAUGAUGGUUUUAUUGUUGUCAUGAAUCAGGUUAAAGAGAGCUUGCUGGCUCCAGUUCUUUGUUCAUGUUCAGUCAAAGAAGAAAAUUUGUUCCUUAGGAUGUCAAGAAUUAAAGCCCCAUUACCAUCCUUCAGCUCUUGGUUGGUUCAAACUUUAAACGUAAGUCUCAAGUUUAAGCAUUGUAGUGUGAGUUAAGAUCCUCUAUUUCAAUGAAUGUUUCCAAUGAGGCAUACCGCUGCAUUGUAAUGACAUCCACCUUUGAGGGUUGGGUGGAUCAGACUGGAAAUUGAGAUUAUCAUCAUUAUUAUGUUUAAAGCAUGAUUGUAGCUAAUUCUUUUACCAUCAAGAAGACUUGUGCUUGAAAUUGUUUGAGUCCACUGGUGGAAUUCAACCAGUAGCAGAAGUGAAGAAAUCAUUUAUUUCAAUGGAAGAUGGUUUUACUCGACACCAAAGACAGGAGUGAGUGGCUCGAAGCAACUCGAGAGACCUGGAAGAAGAGCUUUUCACCUUGAAAAUGACACUAGAGGACUGAGACAUGGAAGGAUAUUGUGAUGGUUUUAUAUAUGCUUGGUAACUAGUCAAUGUUUUAUUGUUAUACAGCGAAAUGUUCUCAUUAAACAAUUAAAUCUGAUGGACUUUGACAAGUAUGAGC